Molecule: ribosomal RNA, 400 nt
Filed under: uncultured bacterium
Lineage: Bacteria
Description: bacterial SSU rRNA
Rfam family: Bacterial small subunit ribosomal RNA
Source: RNAcentral
UAGGGAAUAUUGGGCAAUGGACGCAAGUCUGACCCAGCCAUGCCGCGUGCAGGAAGAAGGCUUUCUGAGUCGUAAACUGCUUUUGAAUGGGAACAAAUACCCCUUGCGAGGGAUGCUGAGUGUACCAUUAGAAUAAGCACCGGCUAACUCCGUGCCAGCAGCCGCGGUAAUACGGAGGGUGCAAGCGUUGUCCGGAUUUAUUGGGUUUAAAGGGUGCGUAGGCGGGCCUUUAAGUCAGUGGUGAAAGCCGACAGCUUAACUGUCGAAAUGCCAUUGAUACUGGGGGUCUUGAGUACAGUAGAGGUAGGCGGAAUUAAUGGUGUAGCGGUGAAAUGCAUAGAUACCAUUAAGAACACCGAUUGCGAAGGCAGCUUACUAUAGUGUAACUGACGCUGAGGCA